UACGAAGGGGGCUAGCGUUGCUCGGAAUCACUGGGCGUAAAGAGUGUGUAGGCGGUGUUCCAAGUUCGGUGUGAAAUCUCCCGGCUUAACUGGGAGGGUGCGCCGAAGACUGGAAUGCUCGAGCGUGGGAGAGGAAAGCGGAAUUCCUGGUGUAGCGGUGAAAUGCGUUGAUAUCAUCUGGAAUACCGGAGGCGAAGGCGGCUCACUGGGGGUUUUCUGACGCUGAGGAACGAAAGCCAGGGUAGCGAACGGG
This 253-nucleotide ribosomal RNA is filed under the name uncultured bacterium. RNAcentral's name for it is "partial 16S ribosomal RNA". It matches the Rfam family "Bacterial small subunit ribosomal RNA", at positions 524 to 776 of the family's 1533-position model. The record is from RNAcentral.